This 15791-nucleotide long non-coding RNA is filed under the name Homo sapiens (human). Its description in RNAcentral is "HSALNT0313716". Lineage: Eukaryota; Metazoa; Chordata; Mammalia; Primates; Hominidae. The record is from RNAcentral.
AAGGCUUAGCAUGGGUGUGGAGGGUGAUCAACCCCUCAUCUGUCAUUCAGAACUCCAUGCUGCAACACAGAGGGGAAAAAAAACCUUCUGCUCCCUGUUUCAACCUCAAGGGCAGAGAACACAGGCCGAGUUGCUGUUCUUGUCUCACAAUCUGGAGGCCAGAAGUCUGAAAUCAAGGUGUCGGCAGGAUUGGCUCCUUCUGGGAGCUGCGAGGGAAGUAUCUGUUCCAGGCCUCUCUCCUUGGCUUACAGAUGGCUGUUGAUAUGGUUUGGCUGUGUCCUCACCCAAACCCCAUCUUGAAUUGUAGUUCCCAUAAUCUCCACGUGUCAUGGAAGGGACCCGGGGGAGGUAAUUGAAUCAUGGGGGCAGUUACCUUCACGCUGUUCUCGUGAAAGUGAGUGAGUUCUCAGGAGAUCUGAUAAGGGGACUUUCCUCAUUUUACUCACUCAGUUCUCUUCCUGCCACCACUUGAAGAAGGACGUGUUUGCUUCCCCUUCUGCCGUGAUUCUAAGUUUCCUGAGGCCUCCCCAGCCAUGCUGAACUGUGAGUUAAUUAAACCUCUUGCCUUUAUAAAUUACCCAGUCUUGGGUAUGUCCUUAUAGCAGCAUGAGAAUGGAAAUACAGCCAUCUUCUCCAUGUGUCUCUUUACAUUGUCUUCCCUCUGUAAGCGUUCGUUUCUGUUAUAAGACACUAGUCUUAUUGGAUUAGAGACUGUAAUGACCUCAUUUAAAUUUGAUUACCUCAGUAAACACACUAUCUCCAAAUAAGGUCACAUUCUGAAAUAUUCAGGGUUAGGACUCCAGUAAUAUCUUUUUGUGGGGAGACACACUUCAAUCCAUAACAUACUAUAAGAGAAGGGAGCGCUUACCACUGUCCAUUACCUGGAACCAGUUCAGACAACCAUCAUCUUUCUACAUGCGAUGGAGAAAACAGUUCACCUGGGCAUUUUUGCUAUGACAGGAGGAAACGUCAAUAUCAAACCAUUGGAGAAGGUAGCUGAGUCAUUCAUUUGUGGCAGCAACCAUCUUUCCUUCCCGCACCCCCUGGCUAGGCUGCUCCAUGUUGGGAGGUGGUGUGUUCAGUACAGCCACAGUGAGCUAAGUGAGGGCUUCAGCUGCAGGCUGGAGUGACCCAGGGAGGAACUGCCGCCUAUCAAAAGGAAACACCUGCCACAGAAGGUUCACUGAAGCCUGAGAAAAUAAACGUCAAGAGCUCUGGGCUGUGCCACCACCAGUCUCCACCACUAUUCUGAGGCAGAAUGCACCUAUUGGCUCACAAUGCUGUGAAAGAAAACAAGAAAGUCGUGAUGGUGAGCGCUGCCCUGCAGAGAUAAUGAGCCACUAGAGUAGUUCUGAGGCAGGAGCCAGAGGAGCUGUGACACAGAGGCAGUCAGGGAGUGGGACUGGGGUCACAGGAGGGGCUGGACCCAGUGGUCUAGUGCCUCAUCUCAUUCCAGAUAUGUGACCUAAGAUCUGCAUGUGUGUGCCUGUGCAUGUGUGUGCCUAUGUGUAUGUGGAUAUGUGGCAACAUAUAUGUGCAUGCAUGUAAGUGAGUACACAUGCAUGUGCAUGUGGUGGGGUGUGGGUGACUGGAUAGAGGGAGCAUGGGGAAAGGGAGGGAAAAGAGGGUUAAAACCGUGACAGGAUAAUAAGCAUCUGAAAUACUUAACUACAACAAAAUGUUCUGAGGCUUUGUACAGCCUUAUUUUCCAAACUGCAGGUUGUGGCUCAGCAGUCAGCUGGGAAAUCAAUUUACCCAUGCAGAGAUUCUUAACCUGGGUCUGUGGACACUGCCCUUUCCCCACAAGAGGCCCAAGGAUAGAAUUGUAUUUCAAUAUCAUUGAUUUCCUUUGUAAGCCUAAGAGUUUUGCUUUAUGCAUUUAAAAACACUACAAGAAAGGAUCCAUAGGCUUCAUCACAUGGGGUAGAAAUGGCACGUGCACACAUGCAUACACACACACACAUACACACAAACAGAUACACACACACACACAAACACAUAUACACACACACACAAGGUUAAAAAUCUCUAGGUCAAAACCAGCAUUUUAAAAAGUUAUUAAGAUAACUAGAUUAUAAAGAAAUUAAAAAAUUUGAGCUAUGCAUGUAAUGAGGGUACUGUUUUGUGAAACUGGUUUUAGAUAUACAAAUACUUGUGUAUAUAAAAUAUACAUAUGUAUAUGUGUGUACAUAUUUAUGCACACACAUUUAUUUAUUUGUUUAUUUUGUGAUGGAGUCUCGUUCUGUCACCCAGGCUGGAGUGCAGUGGCAUGAUCUCAGCUCACUGCAACCUGUCUCCCGGGUUCAAGCAAUUCUCCUGCCUCAGCCUCCUAAGUAGCUGGAACUACAGGCAUGCCACCAUACCCAGCUAAUUUUUGUAUUUUUAGUAGAGACGGGGUUUCACCAUGUUGGCCAGGAUGGUCUCGAUCUCCUGACCUUGUGAUCUGCCCGCCUCAGCCUCCCAAAGUGCUGGGAUUACAGGUGUGAGCCACCCUGCCUGGCCAUUUAUUUUUAACUGUAGGGCAUAGGGCAAAAAAUUGAUAGCUAGUGUUCAAUAGCCUACUGGACAUUAGGGUAAAAGAUUUUUUUAAAAAAUUUUUAAAAAUUAUGAGUGAGGAAUGUAGUGGGCCAUUUGUGUUUCAGAGUGGAGGGCUCUGCUAUUAGGCAGACAUUUGACUUUUCACUCGGCACAUCCACAUUCCAGCCAGUCUCCCAGUGAAUGGUGAUAAGCUGGCCCUGAUCAUGCCUGUAUGGCUACACCCCUCUCUGCCUUGUUGAGGCCUGAGUUAAUUUGAAGUGUUGCAGAGGUAUUGUUUCCUGGGAGGGGUGUCUUCCUGUGUACCGCUGGUGUACCACUGGUGUAUGCCUGCCCAGAAGUUUGUUCUUUCACACCCACAGGGCCACCUGAAGAAACAGAGAUAGGGUCUCCCACGGAAUGGGGCAGCAAAAGAAGUAAAGCAAAAGUGAAGAAAAGAGAAAUAGGGGGCAGCAAGUGUUCAGGAAAAGGGGGGUCAGAUAGGAGAGAGAAGCAAAGAGAAAAAUCAAAGUGUAUAAAGCAAGUGGCGGGACUCGCUGAGCUGUAGGUGUAGUAAGAAGCUAUCACACCAGCCUGUUAGCUCCCUGCAGGAUUCACAGCAUCAAGGAUGGUGAAACCGAAAGAAAGAAAAGGUAGUUCAGCAGGAAAGAUCAACAAAGACAAAUCCUGGGACGAAUCCAAGCUGCUAUUAGAAUCGAACCAAGCAAAGAUAUGACCACCUAUGUUAGCGACCUGUUGCUUAGUUUAUUUUAAAUGAAACUCAUAUUUACUUGAUUAAUUUAGAAAAUCUGAGAUUCACUAGAGCAGGAACUUUGCCUUCCUCAGUUCCUAGACCAGUACCAGUUACAUGGUGAAGGCUUAAUAAAUAUUUAUAAAGGAAUGUUAAUUAAUCAGCUGGUAAUUGAUAUGUAAAAUUGCUUGAAAUUAUAAAAUAAUAGUGACAACUAAAAGUAAUACAGUGCAUAAUAGUUUAGAAAUCAACUUCAUGAUUAUCUCAUUUAAUCCUCACACAGUCCCAUCAGGUAUCACCAUGAUCAUCCUCACCUUAAGAAUAAGACACUAGUUCGAAGCCACUCUAUGAUUUGUGCCUGGGAUUUUAAUCAAUAUUCUCUGAUGCAAAAGCCAACCUAGCACUUUGCCUCUUUGGUCAUGUUGUAUGUGCCCACUCAUGAUAAGUGCUUGGUAUAUUUAAGUAGUCAUAUCCAUAGUAGGUAUAGGUAUCAGUUUGGAUUCUCCAGGAAGCAGAAUUACGAGUGUAUGAGGAGGAGGGGGUCACACCUGGGAAAGAUAAAGGGAGACUGAUCAAGGUGGGGCAAUGUAUUAGUCCAUUUUCACACUGCUGUAAAAAAAUACCUGAGCCUGGGCAAUUUAUAAAGGAAAGAGGUUUAACUGAUUCACAUUUCCACAUUGCUGGGGGAGCCUCAUACUUAGAAUCAUGGCGGCAGACAAAGAGAAACCAAGGACCUUCUUCACAUAGUGGCAGGAGAGAGAAGAGCCAGUGAGUGAGGAAGUGCCACUCUUUUAAAAUUAUCAGAUCUCAUGAGAACUUCCUUACUACCAUGAGAACAGCUUGAGGGAAACCUUCCCCAUUAUCCAAUCACUUCCCACUAGGUUCCUACCUUAACACCUGGGGAUUACAACUCAAGAUGAGAUUUGAGUAGGGGCACAAAGCUCAACCAUAUCAGACAGGGGUGCUGAUGUGCCACUUAUGAAAGGAGAGGCAGAAGGAAGCAGGAUGGAGCUGGGAGUGUCUCAGUCCAUGAUGUAGAUCUGACGAAGUCUUAGCCAAUAUAAUGGAAGUCCCAUAGCAAAGACUGCCUGCAAGAGAGUCCCACACUGGAUAGAAAUGGCCUGGCCUGGCCAUGAACCUCCAUGCUCAGGCAAUGUCUGGGUCUGCCUAGGAUGUGCAUGGCCUUGGCUUGAAAGUUAAGGUGGAUUCUACAGACGGUGUAGCUGGAUGCUGUUGGCUAACUGCACAUCUUGCAACCCGACAGCAAGUUAUUCCUUGAAGGGAAAAGCAAGUGGUGCACCUCAUGACUAUAUAUGUUUACAUUUUUAAAGACAUGACAUUUUAAUAUAAUUCCCACUUAAAUACUUUAGCUGGCUAUUGUUUUCUUUACUAUACCCUGACUUUCUAGUUAGUGAACUAUAGCCAACAUAGAGACCAAAUGUCCCAGUUUGAAAAUCCUAAAUUCCUACCUACAGGGUUGAGAGAAGAGAAGGGAUUAUGCUAGAUUGAGCAAUUAAAAUUUGAUACACUGGAUCAGGUCAACUGUUACAAAAACACAGGUGCUGCCAGUCCAUUUUUCAUAUCCCUGGCAGACCUGGCCGAUUGAUCACAGCACUCUUCCUUAUGAGUUGUGUUGUCUGCCUCAAAAUUAUUUUCAACAUUGUGAUCCAGACAGCCAUUCCCAAUCUAUCACCAUUGGCGCCUAAGAUGAAACCAAUUUAUCAUCCCAUCACUAGGUAAUAGGGGAAAAACACAGGUCUUGGAGCAGGUGUGUGUGCUCAAAUGCUUGUGAGGGUGCUAAUGAGAGUGUGAGAUUGAGGGAGAGGUGAUGAAAAUACACACUUGAAAUUAUUUAUCAAUUAGAAGGUUAUGUUUUAAUUUUUUAAUUAAUAAAUCUGUUUAAACCCAGAAUACCUUUUUCCCAGAGGCAAUAUUACAAAUAAGGAUUAUAUACAAAAGUCAGCAUCUAAAUCCUUACCUAUCUAUAUAUAAGUAUUACUGCAUUUGCUUUUGGAUCCUAACAAUAAACUCAGUGCUCAUUGACCUUAACAAAUAGGGUUUUAUUCUUUCUCCCAUAAAAAGAAAUCUGUAGGUAGGCAACUAUCAGCAUAGGUUCAGGGUUUUAGCAACAGAUCUUUGUGAUUCUCUUGCUACUUUCCUUGUAGUUACAGAAUGGCUGUUGUUCCAGGCAUUGUCUUCAAUAUUAUUUGGAGGUAAUUCAUCAGGAAAUAUAAAACUCUCUAAGUAGUCUCCCCCAGAAGAAUUCCAUGUACAUUUCAUGGGCCAGACAGGAUGACAUGACUGUCCCUAGCUUCAAGAAAGAUGGGCAAACCACAUAUUUUAUUUUCCAGCCUCUGUGCUGGGAGGCAGCAAGGGAGAAGGGGUUAGACAUAGCUUUUAGGUAGCUUGCCAAUAGGGAAUGGUACUUAGACCUAAAAGAUAGCAGUACUAGUUUUCUAGAGGUUAAAAUAAUACUCGAUGUUCUCAAGCAUGAGCAGAAAUAUCCUGCGUUCACUCCUUUACUACUCACUUCCGCUUUCUAAUAAAAAGAAUUUGAUAAAUAUAAUGAGCAUCUCAGUAUAUUUGCCAGGUGAGUGUGGAUUCUACACGUUUGUGCUUUAGCAAAAUAAAUUACUACUUUGAAUUUUAAUAGACUUAUGUCUUAAAAUCCAGUCAUUGGAUAGAUUUAAGGUGAAAUGCUGUUGAUACAUUACUAUUCAUUGUAGGAUUAACCCAACAAUCCACCACAAUUUAAAUGAGAAUUUAAAAAUCAAAUUAACAGUGAGUUAUAAUGAAAGGUAAGAAUGGCAGAAAUGGAAAUCUCCAGCCCACUCAUGAUAACAACACUCAAAAUGUAUAGCCUAUUUACUAAAAAUUACAGAAGUUCCAAACUAUCUCCUUGUCUCUAAGUGAGUCACAUGCCAGAAUUAACAGUUCUUUGGUGCUAUGCAAUCUUCUUAGUAUAGCACAGAAUUAAGUCAUUGGUAAACUGUAAUAAUGUGCUAAUUUUAGAUCAUUAUGCCAUAAUGUAGUAAUCCUUAGUAAAUACUUAGUAAGUUACUAGAAAGUAGCUCUUCAUCAUAUGCAAAAAAUAAAACUGAAGACAUUGCAUGUCAUUGGCUUCCAAGAAUUGGAGAAAGGAAAUUUUAGAGUCAGUUUUUGGUUCAUCUAUAGGACAGUAUGUUGGAUCAUAUUGUAAAGAAUUGAGAUGCAUAGAUGAGAGCACUAGUUUGAAAUCAACAGCUGGAUUUGACUCCAUUCCACCUCUGACAACUUAGGACAAGUGUCUUAAGCCCUGCAUAGCCCAGUUUCCUCAUUAUUAGACUGGCAACUACUAACACAGAAACUAUUCUACUUACAAUAUGGUUGUAAUUGAAUCUGUUUGUUGGAAAUUCCAAAGUGACUAAGCUUGCUGUCACAAAUGCACUUCCAGGAAUAGGAGCAUGAAUCAGUUUCUCAAAGCUUUUAAUAAAAGCUGGUGUUCUUGUUUAUGCAUGUUCAAUGCCAUGUCUGCCUAGGUGAUAAAAUAAUGUUUGGUGCAUAGAAGGCACUAAAAAUAUAGCUUUUGAAUGAGUGAAGGACAUUUUCCCCAAAAUUAUUGUCAUUUGUCAUUUGUCUCUGCUGGAAGUCUGUGGGGGCAGAUAACUGUUCUUGGGGAUCUCCCAAGUGUCCUGAGGAGGUCCUUAGGAGCCACAGCCUGCAUUCUCGUCGCCUCGCCCCUCAUGUGGAUGUGAACCAGACUGGAAGAGGCAUCCCUUUGCCUUGAGGCAACAGUUUCAAGAGCAGAGUCUCUUUGGCCAGCUCUUAAACUUCUCCCAAGUUAGCCCUCCCCGGAAUGAACAGGAGGCUCCUCUGCCCAUCUAGUGUCAAGGUGCCGACUCAAGAAGUCAUCCUUUGUCUUCCUCUUCCAUUCUCUUGCUGAUAUUGUCCACGGACACAGGCACAGCACUUUUGUACGUUGCACGAUUUGCUCUUUGCCCUUUAUAAUCAUUUCUACUAUUGAAUAAUUCAUCCUAUAUUCGUGUGAAGAGUUCCUCUUUUUCUCAUCACUUCCAGUUUUUAAAAAUCUCUUCUGUUUCCAUGGUAAUUGUAUAUAUCAACAAGGACUUUGAACACUCUCCAUUUUCUUGGAUUUAUUGAAUCUGAUGUGGUUAAUAAUGCUUGGGAAAACUUCUCAAAAAAAACUCUCACAAACACAGCAAAUGCAUUGAUGGUGAACAGCACAGUUUUUGAGUUCAAAAGGCAGCAGUGUACAUUCCAUAUCAUCUGCUGUUACCAUGUAGUAUGUUCUCACAGGAGAGCUUGGGAUUUUAUCUGUGAAUAUCCAUAGGUUGAAAGUUGGUAAGCAAAAGAACAUCUGUAACUAACCUACUCUUUUUCUGCAGGUUUGUUGUUGGGAUAAAAGUUAACGUGCUCUAGUGCACUGUAGCCUAUAAAAUGUUAUCCUUUCUGUGACGCAUGCCCCAUUUCCACCAUGCCAUGUGGGGACACAAGGAACAGAUCUUUGUCCACAGGAAAAGUGGAAACUCAGAGUUGAAUUUCCUCUUCACUCCAAAGCAUGACUAUGCAUGCACACACACACACACACACACACACACACACACACACACGUGCGCGCACACACACACAUGCACUCAAACUCCUAAGAGCUGGAGGCAGGGAUCCUGGCUCAGAGUUAGAGCUCUCACAACAGGAAGGAUAGAGACAAAAUUCCUAGUUGCUGAUCACUUGCUAACUCUCUUCAUUUUCAGAAGAAAACACCUCCUGGCAUUUGCUUAAUGGAAGGCACCUUUCUAGUCAAUCACUUGACAAGUGUUCUGAAUUGGAUUUUAAAAGGACAGAGGUUGAGAUUAGGGUUAGGGAUUUUUAUUACAUCUCAAAGUGCCUGUAUAAAUUACACAGUGGGGAUUUUCAGUUGAAAGCUUUUCCAGUUAAUAAACAGGAGACUCAUGUAUCGGCAUUUUUGUAAUGCUAUAAGAAUGGGGAAGUGUAGGUUCUGGCACGUAUUCAUGUAAACAAAAAGUGAGUGACGAAUUUUUACCUUGAGUUUUAGAAUCACACUCUUAUAAAUAAUUUACAUACAAGGAGAGAUCAUAGAGAUAACCUGUAGAAAAACAGAAAGAUGAAUUUUUUCCAGCUAAACUUGUCUUGGUGCAGAACUAUCUUGGGCAUAUCAGAUUUUAUAAAGAUACUUUUCCUCUUACAUUUCACACUUCACUUUCACUAUCCAGAAGCCAAGUGGAGGCAUUUUCCCUGAUGAGUGGGAGUUGUAAGGACUAGCUCAAGAGUAGAAUAGGCUUAGGCAAAACUAUAAUGUAGGGGAAAUCAUCCAUGUAACCUGAAUCCUAUUUUAGUGUCUUGAGCCUAAGCCCUAUCUUAAUCCCCAGAACCCCAAAGUUCUGCAGACAAAAAGUUCCCCAUAGAAGUGGCCUCCUGAUCUUUAAACAGAGCCAUGGGCUUAAUCUUCCUUUUGCUGCCAUCUAAAAUUUAAUAAUUCUAAUAUUCAUUUCCUCAGGGCCUUAGCUUGUGGACAAGCUAAUGUAUGCCAACAUACCCAGAGUUCUUAUGAUCUAAAAGUGUUAUUCUCCUGGGUAAGUGGUAAGUAGUUUGCAUUUCAACAAGGAUAAAUAAAUGCCUUGGUUCAAAAGAAUGACAGGGUAGGGUUGUUAAAAAUAUUACUUCCUCCAGGAAGCUUCUGCCUCCCUCUACCCUCAUGGAUUAGAAGUUCCCAGGAAGGCUCCUAUGUAAAGCAUGCUUCUCCUGUCAUGGUAUUUGGCACCCGUCAUUGACAACACUUGUUUAAUAAGCUCUGUGGGUACAGCCCCAUGUAUAUUCAUACACAUAUACUGUUGUAUUAAUUCCCACCACCCGGCUCCCUGAUGGAACACUUGAAGGACAUUAAUAAAUACUGUCUGUUGAAGAAUGAACAAAGCUAAGGGUUUCAGGGACUCUAGAAAGAUAAUAGAGUGAGGGAGAGACAAGCAGUAUUUGAAGGCCAGAUGGCUUUCACUGAUGCUUCCUACUUGGUUAUUUUAUAACUGACAAACCUCUGAAAAUGCCACUUAAAAGUAAUAGUUUUCAGUAUCACUUUAAGUGCUUUAGAAUCACACUCAGCAUUGGAUGUAAAUGGUUAAGGAGGGUAGCCUCGGUCUGCUACUGCCAUAGAUACCUUUAAUAUACAGAAAUUACACAGAAAGUGUCAUGGCAUUCUUGUUUUACCCAGUGAGAAAAUCCACUGUUCAAAUCGAAACCAAUAUGGAAAUUACUCCUUCCAUCAAAAGGAGCAGAGGACGAAAACAAAAACAAAAACAAAAACAAAAUCUCCUCAGCUCCACAGUGAUGACAUAGAAAGUUCAGAUAAGAAAGAGAAAGAAGGCUUUGGGAAAACAAAAAUAAGAAAGUAUUUCAAUGGCAUUCCAAGUAAAUAGUGGCUAGAGUUUUGGCUCAAUGUACUAGCAACACAGUGAUAAGGGCUCUUCUCAAAGUAAAGUGAACUUGGAGCAAGUGAAUGAGGAAACACUGAAAACGGGUGGGCUGAGAAAAAUGCACCCUCUCAGAGCAUGCAGUGAAGGCUCAGCUGAAUUAAUACAAGGAAAGGAAAUUUUACCCCAGACUAUAGAUCACUCGUUUAACCUUUCUCAUGAGAGUCUUCUUCAGUUGUUAGUGAGGGGGAAUUGUAGAUUUAUAUUAGACCUGCAUUGUAAUAUAACAGAGUUUAGCAAUGCACUGUGGCUAAGACAGCUAUAUAACCAACUGGAUGUAGUUCUUAGUGAUACCACACUCAGUCAUUUUCAGUUCUGCUUUCCUUUCGUUUUCCUUUUUUCCUUCUCAUUUUCUCUCUUUCUAUCAUACAUCAAGUUAAAGAAUGUCUUUAUAUGCUGCCAUAGACAAAUAUAUAUGAACCAGGUAGACCAAGAAACUAAGUAGUACACAAAGUGGCCAAACCCAGUAAAAGCCUAUAACUUCUACACGUUUUACACAUACACACACACACACCACACUCAUUUAAUUCCCUCAACACCUCUACUCUAUAAAAAUUUUAUGCCUCCCCUUUUUUUGGUUUAGUAAACAAAUUCAGGUAGGCUCAGUCAUUUGACCAAUGACAAACAACUAGAAUAUGGAGCAUGAAUUUGAAGCAUCAGAGUCUGUACCCUUUUCUCUGAAUAUUUUGGGAGAUAAUUGGUACAAAGUAAAUAAAAAUCAAUAUUGUCAUUAUUGUCUACUUAGAUAACAAUGCAGUGUCUUCAUUCAUAAUGGAUUGCAGUUCCCCACUCAGGAAGAGGACAUUUUUUUUAAAACUACAUGAUACAACUGAGAGCUUGGAAGCUAUCCAUGCAUAAGUUUUAAAACCCAGCAGCUUCAUGGUUUCCUCCUUCUGUUGGCCUGGCCAGUGGACACAGUGGUCACGUUCCUGGCAUGGAGAUGUCAUUCAUGGUCUCUCAGACCCAAGUGUUACCAGUGAAGGGUGUCCAGGUUCUUGGCGCUUUGAACAAAGAAUUGGACAAAACUCACAAACAAAGCAAGAAAAGAAAGAAGCAACAAAAGCAGAGAUGUAUUGAAAAUGAAAACACACUCCACAGGGUGGGAGCAGGCCGAGCAAGCAGCUCAAGGGCCCAGUUACAGAACUUUCUGGGGUUUAAAUACCCUUUAGAAGUUUCCAUUGGUUACUUGGUGUACACCCUAUGUAUAUGAAGUAGUGGCCUGUGAUCAGUCUGAUUGGUUGGAAGGGACCAAUCAGAAUGCAAACGUCUGAUUAGUUGUGGAAAGUGACCAAUUAGAGGCUGAAGUGAAGUUACAAAGUAAUACUCCCACGCAAAUGAAGACUUGGCCCACAACCAACCUGAUUGGUUGUGAGAGGGGACCAAUCAGAGGGACUUUCAGUUUUUCACCUGCAAUGCAGAAAAAGGGUGGCAGGUGAGGGGUGUUGCAAAGGGAGUAGCCUCUGGUCCUUUUGUUACUUGGGCACUUGGGCGUGGAAAGUGGGGGUUUUCCUUUUGAUUUAGUUCUAGGAAGUCAGCGUGAAUUGGCCUUACAUUCCCUGCCUCCAGACCCUAUUCUCCUGCCUCACAAGUGCUCCUAGGAGCUGUACAUGCCUGUCUUUGUCCCCAUGUAGUCAGCUCGUUACAGGUGGGUCCUGCUGGGUCUUUCGUUCUUGCUUCUCUGCUUCAAGAUGGCUAAUAAGUCCUGGUCCAGUGAGUCCCCAGUGCAGACAUAGAGCAGAAGGGAAGUGGGUCCAGUUGCAUUUCCUGCAGUUUAAUAAAGAACCCUGUGCUCUCUGGCCCAUUACCUAAAGCUGAUAUUGUGCUUGGAACGUGUAGUGUUAUCCAAUCCAGCUUUACCACUGCUAAAGCUGAUACCACGCUUUGAUCCUCUGCUUGCUCAUUUUGCCAAGUUCUUAACUGCGUGGAACUGGAAGGUGAGGGCUGGAUGAUUGAUUUUUCACCCUGCCCCCAAACUCCAACAACCGAAACCAAGGGUUCUUGAAGAGAGAGGGGCAGGGCAGCAACAGGGAGACUGAAACUUGGGGUGGGGGGGGGGCGGGGGGAGGGGGGCGGACGGAAUGUUUUUGAAGUGUGUGUUUGCCUAAGGUGUGUGUAGAAAGGUAGCUACUUUUCAGUCUCUGCCUGCCUUUAAUCCAUUACAAUGUCCUAAUUAAAAACAUUUAAAAAGCUACAUUGGAAAAUGAUCCCUGAGGCUAGAAUGCUGUUGGCACAGUGAAAAAGACGCAAUCAAUAAGUAAACAGGCAAUGUCAGCCCGGAGAGCUUUCAGAACAACAUGCCUACUCGGGGGAAAAAAAAUUACAAGUCGCUUUAGCCUAUUUAAAUAUUUUCCAAGAUCUUUGUUAAAUUUCAGGUAAUAAUAUUUCUUCCUUUGAACAAGCGUUGUAUGUUUGCCUUUGACUGAGAAUGGCCUAGGCUAGAGACCAUUUGGUAUUCAACUUGUGACUAUUUUAGUAUGGGGCUGGACCCCAAAAAUUCAUGCUCAAUGAAAUGAUUUUCACUUACUGAGAUGAAUUUACUUUUUGCUUCCUUCAGCAAUUCAUCAAUCUAAUGGAAGAAAGAGUAGCUAUCAUCAUAAUGAGAAUAGACUUCUACGAGUAUGAGUCAAUGUCAAUACUUUAUUUAAUAAUGCAAAUUCUAUUACUAUAUAUUUGGUCUCAAUCCAAAUUUGCUUUAAAUUGAGUUUCCUUGCCAUUGCACACUCCUAUCUUUCUGAACACACACCACCCCACACACACACCAUACACACUUGUUUCAUUGCGCUUCAUUUUAUUGCACUUCUCGAAGAAUGUGUUUUUUACAAAUUGAAGAUUUGUGGCAACUUUUCAUCGAGUGAGUCUAUUGGCAUCAUUUUUGCAAGAGCAUAUGCUCACUUCCUGCCUCUGUGACAGCAUUUUUUAGCAAUAACAUAUUUUUAAUGAAGGUAUGUACAUUGUUUUUUAGACAUAAUGCUAUUGCACACUUGACUAAAAUGUAGCCUAAGUAUAAUUUUUAUAUGCCAUGGGAAACUAAAAAAAGUGACUUACUUUAUUGUAAUAUUUGCUUUAUUACUUUGGUCUGGAACUGCCUCACACUAUCUCUGAAGUAUGCAUGUAUAGCUUUUCAUAACACAGAUAUCACAUUUGACCAGAUCCUAUUGUUACUGAACAAUGUUGAUGCUAACAUUGAUGAUAUCAAUCACUAUUACUGGAAUCAUUAUCAACAUAUCAAUAAAUAUUUUUAGAACAUUUUGAAAUUGUCAGCUGGGUUUUGGUUAAAUACUUCUUGUCUGAUAUAUUAUAUCCCAAAACAAUAACAGUAGCUGAAAAUACCAGAGAAGAUAUACUUUUUAAAGUAACAUAUUGUCAUAACGUAUAAGUAUCAAAAUUUCAUACUGCAGCAUGACUGACAUAAAGAACACUUUGUUGUUGUUGUUGUUGUUUUGUUUGUUUGUUUGUUUUGAGAUGGAGUCUCGCUCUGUCACCAAGGCUGGAGUGCAGUGGCACAAUCUGGCUCACUGCAACCUCCACCUCUCUGGUUCAAGCAAUUCCCCUGCCUCAGCCUCCAGAGUAGCUGGGAUUACAGGCGCAUGCCACCACGCCUGCCUAACUUUUCUGUAUUUUUAGUAGAGAUGGGGUUUCACCAUGUUGGCCAGACUGGGCUCGAACUCCUGACCUCAGGCAAUCCGCCCAUUUUGGCCUCCCAAAGUGCUAGGAUUACAAGUGUGAGGCACCACGCCCAGCCACAGAACACUUUUAAACCACUGAACUGAUAAAGGGGCUAUAAAACUCUUCUAUUUCAUUCUUUUUUUUUUUGAGACAGAGUCUUGCUCUGUCAUCCAGGCUGGAGUGCAGGGUGGCAAUCUCAGCUCACUGCAACCUCUGUAUUCCAGGUUCAAGCAAUACUUGUGCCUCAGCCUCCUGAGUAGCUGGGAUUACAGGUGUAUGCCACCAAGCUCAGCUAAUUUUUGUUCUUUUAGUAGAGACGGAGGUUUUGCCAUGUUGGCCAGGCUGGUCUCGAACUCCAGACCUCAAGUAAUCUGCCUGCCUUGGCCUCGUAAGUGCUGGGAUUUCAGGCAUGAGUGACUGCACCUGGUCUAUUUCAUUCUUUAUAAGCAGAAAACUCUAAAUACUUCUAGGAUAGGUGGUUCUGAGCAGUAGGCAUCUAUGUAUUUAAGAAUAUUAUGGAAUCUUCUGGUUUCUCCAAUCCUGUCCACCUAUCUUCAUUAGGAUGUCCUGGGCGUCUCAUGUGUUAGCAGUGCCGUUGACCCUUGAACAACACAGGUUUCAACUGCACUGGUCCACUUAUACAUGGGUUUUCUUUUGCCUCUGCUAUUCCUGCUAAACAAACCCCCUCCUCUUCCGCCUACUCAACAUGAAGAUGAUGAGAAUGAAGACCUUGAUGACUGAUCCACUUCCACUUAAUGAAUAAUAACUAUAUUUGUUGUAAUUUUCUUAAUAACAUUCUUUUUCUAGCUUACUUCAUUGUAAGAACACAGUAUAUAAUACAUAUAAUAUACAGAAUAUGUGUUAACUGACUGUUAAUGUUAUUGGCAAGGCUUUGGGCCAUCAGUGGGGUAUUAGUAGUUAAGUUCUUGAGGAUCAAAAGUUAUACUUGGAUUUUCAACUGCAUGAGGGGUUGGUGCCCCUAACCUCCACAUUGUUCAAGGGUCAACUGUAAUUUCCCAGCUCCUGUUUCUCUGGUUUCUGACCUGCUACUGACCUGCUUCCAGCUUGGCUUUGUAGUCUCCUACUUCAUAUCCUCCUUUAUUCCUUGAACCAGGCCUUUGACUUUGGGAUCCCUUCAAGAACACUUGGCUCCUUCCCUCCUGGCUACACAUACACAUUGUUAGGAGGGAUAAGCACCCUAGCAGGCUCUAGAUGCAGCUGCUGUCCUAGUUUCUCUUGUGGGUGGAUUUGGGACAGCAGGGAUUCAGACCAUAAUGUGGUUGUUCCUCAUCCUUCUUUACCUAACUAUUAAUCAUUGGAUUUCUUCAAGGCUUAGUCCUAGGGAAGCCUACUUACUAACCCUGUACGCUCUCUGAAAGAAGAAAAAUCUACACUUAUUGAGUAGUUAAUUGAGUGGUUACUAAAUACUGAGAACUAUGCUAAAAGUUUCAAAUGCAAGAAGCCAUUUUAAUACUCCCAACAGCAUUAUAAGGUAGGGAAUAGUAUAUUCUCUGUUUUUAAAUAUAUGGGAAAUUCAGAGUAUUUGAGUAAUUUCUUCAUGGUUGCACAGCUAGGAAGUAGCAGAGCUGGGCUGCAAACUGAGAUGGCUUCAUUCUAGGACUCCUGCUCUGAACCACUACCCUAUAUUGGCAUUGGUUUCUAUGGAAAUCUUUAAGUUAUCUCAUCCACACUUUUGAGUUCAAUUGCCAUCAAAGCAUUGAUGACUCCCAAACUUCAGUUGCCUACUCAACAUCUCCAUUUGAAUGUCUCAAGAACACUUCAAACUAACCGCAUUGAAAAGUGAACUCAGGUACCCCAACCCCUUCAAACCCAAUCUUCUUACGUGUUUUCUUCAUCAGUGAAAGGAAAUCAUCUUCCAUUAGUGGGAUGAGCCAGAUACCUCGGUGUCAUCACUGGCUCAUCACUCUGCUUCAGUUCUGUACCCAACCCAUUAUUAAGUCCAGUGAUUAACACCUCUGAAAUGUGUUUCAAAGCAGUCCUCUUCUCUCUGUCUUCGCAGCAACCACCUUUGUCCAAGACACAUUAUCUUUCAUCCAAUCUAGUGGAUAACGCUGUGCUAGUUAGGGUUCUUCAGAGAAACAGGAACAAUAGGCUAUAUAGACAGUCCUUGACUUUGGGUGGUUCAACUUAAGACUUUUUGACCUUACAAUGGUGUGAACCUGUCUCAGUUUUGACAUAAUAUAGUACAGUAUUCAAUAAAUGACAUGAGAUGUACAACACCUUAUUAUAAAACAGGCUUUUUGUGGCUGGGCGUGGUAGCUUACACCUGUAAUCCCAGCACUUUGGGAGGCCGAGGCGGGUGGAUCACAAGGUCAGGAGAUCAAGACCAUCCUGGCUAACAUGGUGAAACCCCAUCU